CAGUCCACACAUGCUUUGCGAAGUAUAUGAAACGAAAUUGCAAUUGAAAUCCCGAUGCAGCUAUGUGUAGAUAUAUUUGCUGCUAUUGGUACACAUUCUUUACCUAUCCAAGGUCUUCUACUAUUUCAAUACCCAUCAUAUGUGAAAAUCUGUGGUGAGAAAAGAAACAUAUCUACAGUCUGAUGUAAGUUGUUCCUGAAAGUGAAACUUAACAAUAUCAGUGGUGAAAUGUUCACUCUUGCUUGAUUUAGUUUCUGGAUUCCCUUUCCUUGUACUUCUAAGAAAAUAAAUAAUUAAUAGCAUGGUUCUGCUCAUUGGAACAGGAGAGGCGAUCAACAAGACAGAAAAACACAAAUGGCCAAGUACACUUGAUUGAAGAUUGAUGAAUCUGGGAUCAGGUAAAAACUGAGACCAAAGGCACUGAAACUUGAGUAAUAGUUCCCGUAAGGUCACAGUACUACUUCCACAACCGGGAAUGACAAAUUUUAAAUAUGCACAUGCUUUGAACUUUGUCUAGAUGAAUUGAGAGCAUGUAGCAAUUAAAUGGAUUAUAGAUGAACUGGGAGCACGUUGUAAAUAGUACCCAUGAUUUUAUUUUAAGUUUUCACACAUUUAUCCGAGCAAUUACUCAUACAAGACAUAUGGUCUUUGAAAUGGCUUUGUUUUCAUCAAGUGUCCUUCCUGCUACUACAUAUAUGAUUGCUGGUACAUUUUUUUUAGAAAGGAGGCAUCUGCCCGGCCUUAGACUGAGGCCCUUCCAGGUUCACCGAAGUUCAUACAAGGUAAUAUAUGACUGCACCGAAGUUCAUACAAGGUAAUAUAUGACCGCUGGCACAUGCAUAUUUACAAGUGCAUAUCUGAUUGCUUGCUGAUUGAGGAACUUCAAAUGCAAUUUUCAUUGUAAGCCAUGUGGUAUGCUAUAUGUGUUAGCCUGACUUUGGUUGAUGUGGUGAUAAGGGUAUCUUUUGUAACCUGUUUGCAGCGCAUGUACUUUUAGAUCUUUGGGAUCAAGGGCCACUUGCAAAUUUUAAGAAACUCCCAUUUUCUAAGAUUGCUCAAAUAUACGAGUUCUUUUGCAGGGACAAAUGGCAAAAUGUAGCAAGGCACCAAGUUGAUGUACAAUGUUCUGGUGAUUGCUUUGUUCAUAACAUGGUUGACACAUUUUCUUCAUAUGGAAGUUAAUGUCGGCUUGGUGACUAAAGACUUGGGCUCUUCCAUAAUAUUUUGUACAUUAGUCAAGUGAUUGAACAAUUGGUCUCAUAGGAACAUGGCCAUCACAUUUUGUAACAGACCGCGGCUUGAAUGCCAGCUUAUGUAUGUCCUUAAUCCACUGUAGCUAACUUGAGUAAAGAAGACUAAUGAAUCGUUCUAUAUAUGUUGAAUGGUAUCUUGUGCAUUGAUCAAUGGUAUAUGGUGAUGAAUAGAAGAGUGUAAUUCUGAUGAAUAUGAAUGUAAUUAUUUGUAUAUGUGUUCGGCGUAUUAAUA
RNAcentral lists this long non-coding RNA (1485 nucleotides) under Triticum aestivum (bread wheat). RNAcentral describes it as "long non-coding RNA (TAES_LNC003812)". Lineage: Eukaryota; Viridiplantae; Streptophyta; Magnoliopsida; Poales; Poaceae. The record is from RNAcentral.